GGGGGAUUAGCUCAGUUGGUAGAGCGCUCGCUUAGCUUGUGAGAGGUUGCGGGAUCUAUGCCUGCAUCCUCCA
Molecule: non-coding RNA, 73 nt
Organism: Ameiurus melas (black bullhead)
Lineage: Eukaryota; Metazoa; Chordata; Actinopteri; Siluriformes; Ictaluridae
Source: the annotation of a GenBank genome assembly